CUCAGUUAAGCAAAGUGAAAACAGGCGGGAGAUGAGUUCUCUUACAUAAAUCAGUUAAGUUAAUGUUCGAAAAACAGUUGAGUUUGAAUUCAUGGACAUCCCACAGCUCUUGUUCUUCCUCAAAACAUUCACCAACACAAGAUUACUUACACAAGGCAAACUUGUACAUCAAAAGAUCUUAACUUUAGGCUUAAAAAACAACAUUGUCCUCUCCAAAAAUCUCAUAACUUUCUACUUUUCUUGCCAAGAUUUUAACUAUGGCAGGCUUGUUUUUCAAUCUGUAGAAAACCCUUUUGAUAUAUCUUUGUGGAAUAGCCUUAUGGCAGCUUACACUAGGAAUUAUAAAUUCUUGGAAGUUCUUGAUCUUUUUCGAGUUUUGUUGUUGCAAUUUGAUUGUAUUAGGCCUGAUAAUUAUACUUACCCUAGUGUUUUGAAGUGUUGUAGUGAGUUGGGUAGGAUUGAUUAUGGUGGGAUAGUUCAUGGUAGUGUGUUGAAAAGAGGUUAUGUUUGGGAUGUGGUUGUGGCAAGUUCUGUUGUGGGGAUGUAUGCGAAAGGUGGGUUGUUUGGGUAUGCGAUGAGAGUGUUUGAUGAAAUGCCUGCGAGGGAUGUUCCGUGUUGGAAUGCUGUUAUGUCUUGUUACUAUCAUGAUGGGCAGUGGGAGAAAGCGUUGGAAUUGUUUGGGAGAAUGAAGGGGUCUGGAUUUUCGCCUGAUUCUGUUAGUUAUACUACUGCGAUUUCUUCGUGUUCUAGGCUUUUGGAUUUGGAAAGGGGGAAGGUUAUUCAUCAUGAAAUGUUGAGUAGUGGGUUUCCUUUGGAUAGUUUUGUUAGUGCUGCUCUUGUUGAUAUGUAUGGGAAAUGUGGUUGUUUAGAGACGGCUAUUGAGGUUUUUGAUCAAAUGCCCAAAAAGAGCUUAGUUUCCUGGAAUUCUAUGAUUGCAGGAUAUAGAUUACGAGGAGACAGUAAUUCAGGAAUUAAACUUUUGUGGAGAAUGAUUGAAGAAGGAAACAAACCUACUUCGACAACUUUGAGCAGCUUAUUAAUGGCUUGUUCUAACUCGGUGACACUACUACAUGGGAAGUUCCUUCAUGGUUAUAUGAUCAGAAAUAACAUUGAAGCUGAUAUAUUCAUCCUGAACACGCUUGUAGAUCUUUACUUUAAAUGCCGCCGUACUAAGUAUGCUGAGUUCAUUUUCAGAGCAAUGACAAAGACGGAUAUAGUGGCAUGGAAUGUAAUGAUUUCUGGUUAUGUAUCGGUAGGUUGUUACUUGAAGGCUAUUGGCAUAUUCAAUGAUAUGAAAGAAGCUGGGAUAAAACCUGAUGCAUUUUCACUGGCUAGUGUCCUUGCAGCAUGUUCACAAUUAGGUGCCUUAAAGCAGGGCAAAGAGAUACACAAGUCAAUGAGUUUGAGUAUGAUUGAAUCAAAUCAAAUAGUCGUUGGAGCUCUUCUUGAUAUGUAUGCUAAAUGUGGUGCUGUUAAUGAAGCUAUCAGCGUUUUUAAUCAGUUACGGGUGAAAGACCUUGUAUCAUGGACUUCAAUGAUAAUGGCUUAUGGAUCUCAUGGCCAGGCAUGUGAAGCUUUGCAGCUUUUUAAAGAAAUGCAGAAGUCUAAUAUCAAACCUGACAGAGUUACUUUCUUGGCUGUCAUUUCUGCAUGUAGUCAUGCAGGAUUAGUUGACGAGGGACUUUACUAUUACAGCACAAUGAUCAAUAACUAUAGGAUUCAACCCACAAUUGCUGAGCUAUCGUGCUUGAUAGAUUUACUUGGGCGUGCUGGAAAAUUACAAGAAGCUUAUGGUAUUCUCCAGAGGACCCCGGAUAUUAAAGAUGAUAUUGAUUUGUUAAGUACACUACUUUCUGCAUGCCAUAUGCAUGGUGAACUAGAACUAGGGGAGGAAAUUGCAAGCUUGCUAAUUGAGAGGGAUCCUAAUGAUCCAUCAACUUACAUUAUCUUAGCAAAGAUGUACGCUUCUGGCAGAAAAUGGAAUGAGGCACGCAAAGUCAGACUGAAGAUGAAAGAGCUCGGGCUGAAAAAGAAUCCCGGGUGUAGCUGGAUAGAGAUUGAUGGAAGAAUUAAACCCUUCUUUGUUGAAGACACUGAAGUAUCACAACAAGAUAUGAUAUAUUCGUGUUUAUCCAUUCUUGCCAGUCACAUGGAGAAGGAUGAACUGGUUGUGGAUGAUUCGCAUUAGGCAUAAUUAGUUUCACUGUCAUAUCAUGAAUAGGAGGUGAUUAUAUGAUACCUUUGCUUAUGUUGCUGCACAAUUGUACAAAUUCAAAGAUUUAUUUUGUGGAUGGAGAUGGAUUUGCUCACAUGAAGAUCUAUUUCGCGCAUUUUGGACUGCCAAGGAUAGUCCAGAAGCAACCGCACUGGAUCCCAGAAAAAAACCAGUGAGGUAUAUAUGAACAUUAAUACUUGCAAAGUAGCAGUGAAAAUGGUUUGCUUCGACCUAUUGUAUCCUAAUAUGUUGAUUUUGACAUUUGCUCACUACACCUUGCUCCUCGAUACUAGUUGACUAUAGAUUAACCUAAAAUGAACAUGACUGUUUCUGACUAGUCAUAUUAGAUAUGCUUUUCUAUACUUCAAUUUUAAUGCGGGGUUGCCAUAAAUACAUGUAAGGCUUAAAUUUAUGAUAUGCUUAUCAGGCGACAAGUCAAAUUCCCUUGAGGCCUUUUAGAUCCCUAGGCAUCAGUAUAUCCCUUGUUGUCAGAAGAACUCGAUGCAUUUUCUCUUUGUUUACAUUCGUAGACAGUAUUUGCUUAUGAGUAAUACUUACGAUAAUAUGUUUCUUUUUACUUUUGCACAUUUAACUUAACUUAAUAUGUAAUAUGACAGCGCCUGAAAACUCAGGCUUAGAUGCAAAUGGAAAUUUAUUUGAUUUCAUGAUGAAGUUUCUCCACUUGUGGCGUAACAGAAGUGUUGGAUUUUCAAUCAUCGCUUCCUAUUUAAUAGUAUAGAAUCAACAAGUACAUAGACGAAGUCUGUAUUUUUCUUGAAAAUAGCAUAGUAGUAAUAAUAAUAGCGACAAUACAAUAAGUGCUUGUAUGUAAUUAGACAAUCCUACUACCAUUAACUGAUUAAAGACACUUGCCACCUCCCAUAGGUUGUAAUAUCUUUGAAUAAGUAAUAAUAACUACUUAUAUAACUGCUAGUAACCACCGGAGACUUAUUUAUGGUUAGGAACCUGUCUUAGUGACCACCAAUAACUGAUAGGAAACUGUACUUUCUAACAAUCUGCAUGCUUUGACAACUUUUAUUCUACAUCAACUUGGAAUGGAAUCCAAGUGAAAAUUCCAUUAGCGGUGCUUCUGGAAACAGCUUGCACAUGUAUUAUGCAUACAAUAUGGAUCCUUACAAAAAAAUAUUGCAUGAAUAAAUAUACUGGACUGCUGUUGGAGAAGACCUUAUCCGAACAUCUAAAGGUUUGGUUUAUGCAUACUCGUAUAUGUAGAAUUCACCUAUUUAGUGUUGAAGGUUAAGAAGUUUGCUUAUCAUUAUCUGCAAGGAACUUGUAUCUGUAGUCUGUCCUCUUUCUGAUUAUUGCUUUAUCAGUCUGUUCUCCAUUUUGUUAUCUUUGUAACUCUUUCAGAAGGAGAACUUUAGUUCCUUCCUACUGUGUUGGGUUCAAAUCGAGUAGAAAGGAAACGUAAAGUGAAGAAUGUUACUCAUCGUCGCCUUUAGGUUGAGGGUAAAUGUUGUUUUACAACAGUUUUGUUGUGAAGAGCUGCUGCUAAUCUGCAGGCCAAAAGUUUCUCAUGUUUCUCUGUAACAGAUCUUUAGGAUAAUUAUAGACUCUUUUUGCUAGUUUUUUUUAAAUCAGUUCUUUUGUAAGCUAAUCCAAAUUGCUUUCGCUGUUUACUUAAAAAGAAUAUUUAUCUAUUUCCGUACUCAGCUUUUCCGGUUCGGAGCCAUUAUAUAUGCCAGAUAGGAUGCACGAUGAGGUGAUUACAUAAAAUGUUGUAAGGGCCUGUUACAAAAAAUAAAAAAAGCAUCACAUCUAAUUCAGAUUAUUAUGAAGGACAACAGUAUGUAUAUAUCUUUCAGAAAUUUGUUUUAAUGGAGUGCACACUGAUAAACUUGUAGUUGAAAAACUUUGAAGGUUUGGUUUUUACCUUAUAAAGAAGCGUCAUGAUAGUUACUUUACCAUUCCCUUUUUCAUUAAGUGUUUUAUUCAGAGUUUAAUUUUUAAACUCACGCUUCUUCCAAGUACUUUGAUAAAACUACACCUUGGACUGAAAGGUGUGAUGUUGCAUUUCCUUUGUGCUUCACAAAAUGAAUUAGACUGAUGCAUGUACUUGGGGAAGGUAGUUUUUCAAUUUUUGGUCUCAUCGUUUUGAAAUUGCCCAUUCCCUCAUUAGUGCCUAUAUUGUUUUCAAAUUUACCUCUAACAUGUAUACAUUUUAUCUGAUGUUUUUGUGGAGAUCAGCAUGAAAGUUUCAGGGAUCUAUAUUUGUCAAAUAUCAGUAAUGUAUAGUUACUGCAAGAAUAAUUACUACAAUAAAAGUCAGAUGUAGUGUAGAUAGUUUGUAGGCAACUUGUCCCCUAUUCCUAUCCUAGCAUCUAUCUCUACUGCUAGCAGUAAGUAAUAUAGACAGUAACUUCUCAGUUUUGUUCUGUAAAUAAAGGCUUAGCCUCAUUGUAAUACUUGGAGCAGUUACUGAAUUGCUCCAAGUAUUACAAUGAGGCUAAUCUCCACAAACAUCAGAUAAAAAAUACAGUCCUGAACCUACUUUAAGCAAUGAGUUUGGUGUGAUUAUAUGUAUCAAGUAAUAAUUACCGGGAUAUUGAAAUAAAACAAAAGCAUACAAAACCAUAUUCUCCUAUAUAACUUUGUGAUGCUAAAUUUCUUGACCUUGAUCUCUGGCCUGCAGGUUGUUGCUGGAAAUAUGAACUAAAAGAGACCAGGGUAAAUUGGUCCCUUGAGAACCUUGAAUUCAAAUAUCAGGUAAGGCUUAAAGAUUGAAUAUAUAUCAAUUGUCUUUGCUUUCAAAUGUUCGUGUACGUGAUUUCUGACAAUAAAGAAUGUAGCUGUACGUGUGAGCAGGACCUGGAUGUUUGAAAUACUGUUACAUGGAACAUUGACUUUGUUUUUGUAGCCUGUUCUAUAUUUGUUUAUUAAUUGUGUGUAGAUGACCAGGUAGAUAAUCAAGGAGGAAAACCAAUAGUUGUCCCAUUUGUGAGACAAAAUUUGUCAGGUGGUCAUCGGAUCAACAUUUGAUUUAACGAAAUUUCUGAUAUGUUUCGAUUAUCUCUAAUUAAUAUUAAAUUUUUCAUGUAUAAAGCUAUGUAGGACCACAAUAGAGGUCUUAAAACAACAAAAAAUGUUAGUUAUCUGGCUUUGCGACAAAACAGCUGAUUAUCUAAAAGGGAAUCUAGAAUAAGAUCUCUAUGGACAGUUUAUGAACGUUCAAUCUGGUUAUUGUAUUAAAGUAUAAUAGAAAGAAUUUAUUGGACAGAGUGGAGCAACUCCCGUUGACUAAUGGGCACAAAAGAGUUCAAAAUAUGAUGAUAUACCUACUAUGUCAUAUUUUGUGUUCUUGUUUAACCAUCAUACUGAUUAAGAUAGCAAGUAUAACUUGAUGAGGGAAUUACUGGGGAUGAAAAGGUGUUGGCCAAAAUUUCCUCUCUCUUAAAUAUUUUUGCUAUUUAUUGGCAAAAGUUUCCUGGAUAAAUAUACAAUUUCUUCAGCAUUAGGUGUGUAGGAUUGUCCACAUUCAGUCAUAAUAGUAUAUAUGAGAUAAGAUUAUUAUUUGGUGUUUACUAGUUAUAUUUCAAUGAUCUAAA
Molecule: RNA transcript, 5781 nt
Organism: Daucus carota subsp. sativus
Lineage: Eukaryota; Viridiplantae; Streptophyta; Magnoliopsida; Apiales; Apiaceae
Gene name: pentatricopeptide repeat-containing protein At5g27110
Exons: 3
Source: RefSeq, a predicted model, not a curated record